RNAcentral lists this non-coding RNA (148 nucleotides) under Gorilla gorilla gorilla (western lowland gorilla). The record is from Rfam by way of RNAcentral. Lineage: Eukaryota; Metazoa; Chordata; Mammalia; Primates; Hominidae.
GCCGGGCAUGGUGGCUCAUGCCUGUGGUCCCAGCUACUCAGGAGGCUGAGGCAGGAGGAUUGCUUGAGCCCAGGAGUUGGAGGCUACACUGAGCUAUGAUGGCACCACUGCACUCCAGCCUAGGCAACAGAGCGAGACUCUGUCUCUA